AAAUUAGAGUGUUCAAAGCAGGCCCGAGCCGCCUGGAUACCGCAGCUAGGAAUAAUGGAAUAGGACCGCGGUUCUAUUUUGUUGGUUUUCGGAACUGAGGCCAUGAUUAAGAGGGACGGCCGGGGGCAUUCGUAUUGCGCCGCUAGAGGUGAAAUUCUUGGACCGGCGCAAGACGGACCAGAGCGAAAGCAUUUGCCAAGAAUGUUUUCAUUAAUCAAGAACGAAAGU
RNAcentral lists this ribosomal RNA (228 nucleotides) under Chaetoceros curvisetus. Its description in RNAcentral is "partial Eukaryotic small subunit ribosomal RNA". It matches the Rfam family "Eukaryotic small subunit ribosomal RNA", at positions 763 to 990 of the family's 1831-position model. Lineage: Eukaryota; Bacillariophyta; Thalassiosirophyceae; Chaetocerotales; Chaetocerotaceae. The record is from RNAcentral.